Molecule: ribosomal RNA, 497 nt
Filed under: uncultured bacterium
Lineage: Bacteria
Description: partial 16S ribosomal RNA
Rfam family: Bacterial small subunit ribosomal RNA
Source: RNAcentral
GACGAACGCUGGCGGCGUGCCUAAUACAUGCAAGUUGAGCGCUGAAGGUUGGUACUUGUACCAACUGGAUGAGCAGCGAACGGGUGAGUAACGCGUGGGGAAUCUGCCUUUGAGCGGGGGACAACAUUUGGAAACGAAUGCUAAUACCGCAUAAAAACUUUAAACACAAGUUUUAAGUUUGAAAGAUGCAAUUGCAUCACUCAAAGAUGAUCCCGCGUUGUAUUAGCUAGUUGGUGAGGUAAAGGCUCACCAAGGCGAUGAUACAUAGCCGACCUGAGAGGGUGGUCGGCCGCAUUGGGACUGAGACACGGCACAAACUCCUACGGGAGGCAGCAGUAGGGAAUCUUCGGCAAUGGACGAAAGUCUGACCGAGCAACGCCGCGUGAGUGAAGAAGGUUUUCGGAUCGUAAAAAUCUGUUGGUAGAGAAGAACGUUGGUGAGAGUGGAAAGCUCAUCAAGUGACGGUAACUACCCAGAAAGGGACGGCUAACUACGUG